GACGAACGCUGGCGGCAGGCUUAACACAUGCAAGUCGAGCGCCCCGCAAGGGGAGCGGCAGACGGGUGAGUAACGCGUGGGAACGUGCCUUUUGGUUCGGAACAACUGAGGGAAACUUCAGCUAAAACCGGAUAAGCCCUUCGGGGGAAAGUUUACGCCAAAAGAUCGGCCCGCGUUAGAUUAGCUAGUUGGUGGGGUAAUGGCCUACCAAGGCGACGAUCUAUAGCUGUUCUGAGAGGAAGAUCAGCCACACUGGGACUGAGACACGGCCCAGACUCCUACGGGAGGCAGCAGUGGGGAAUAUUGGACAAUGGGCGCAAGCCUGAUCCAGCCAUGCCGCGUGGAUGAAGAAGGCCCUAGGGUUGUAAAGUCCUUUCGGUGGUGAAGAUAAUGACGGUAAC
Molecule: ribosomal RNA, 401 nt
Filed under: uncultured bacterium
Lineage: Bacteria
Description: bacterial SSU rRNA
Rfam family: Bacterial small subunit ribosomal RNA
Source: RNAcentral